AUGCUUCGGUCUCGUAGUGACCUGCGGAGGGAUCAUUACAAGUGACCCCGGUCUAACCACCGGGAUGUUCAUAACCCUUUGUUGUCCGACUCUGUUGCCUCCGGGGCGACCCUGCCUUCGGGCGGGGGCUCCGGGUGGACACUUCAAACUCUUGCGUAACUUUGCAGUCUGAGUAAACUUAAUUAAUAAAUUAAAACUUUUAACAACGGAUCUCUUGGUUCUGGCAUCGAUGAAGAACGCAGCGAAAUGCGAUAAGUAAUGUGAAUUGCAGAAUUCAGUGAAUCAUCGAAUCUUUGAACGCACAUUGCGCCCCCUGGUAUUCCGGGGGGCAUGCCUGUUCGAGCGUCAUUUCACCACUCAAGCCUCGCUUGGUAUUGGGCAACGCGGUCCGCCGCGUGCCUCAAAUCGACCGGCUGGGUCUUCUGUCCCCUAAGCGUUGUGGAAACUAUUCGCUAAAGGGUGUUCGGGAGGCUACGCCGUAAAACAACCCCAUUUCUAAGGUUGACCUCGGAUCAGGUAGGGAUACCCGCUGAACUUAAGCAUAUCAAUAAGCGGAGGAA
RNAcentral lists this ribosomal RNA (560 nucleotides) under Cladosporium cladosporioides. RNAcentral describes it as "eukaryotic LSU rRNA". The stretch from base 195 to 348 matches the Rfam family "5.8S ribosomal RNA". Lineage: Eukaryota; Fungi; Ascomycota; Dothideomycetes; Cladosporiales; Cladosporiaceae. The record is from RNAcentral.